This 465-nucleotide ribosomal RNA is filed under the name uncultured bacterium. Its description in RNAcentral is "bacterial SSU rRNA". It matches the Rfam family "Bacterial small subunit ribosomal RNA", at positions 338 to 795 of the family's 1533-position model. The record is from RNAcentral.
CCUACGGGGGGCAGCAGUGGGGAAUACUGCACAAUGGGCGCAAGCCUGAUGCAGCCAUGCCGCGUGUGUGAAGAAGGCCUUCGGGUUGUAAAGUACUUUCAGCGAGGAGGAAGGCGUUAAGGUUAAUAACCUUGGCGAUUGACGUUACUCGCAGAAGAAGCACCGGCUAACUCCGUGCCAGCAACCGCGGUAAUACGGAGGGUGCAAGCGUUAAUCGGAAUUACUGGGCGUAAAGCGCACGCAGGCGGUCUGUCAAGUCGGAUGUGAAAUCCCCGGGCUCAACCUGGGAACUGCAUUCGAAACUGGCAGGCUAGAGUCUUGUAGAGGGGGGUGGAAUUCCAGGUGUAGCGGUGAAAUGCGUAGAGAUCUGGAGGAAUACCGGUGGCGAAGGCGGCCCCCUGGACAAAGACUGACGCUCAGGUGCGAAAGCGUGGGGAGCAAACAGGAUUAGAUACCCGGGUAGUC